GAAAUGCGAUAAGUAAUGUGAAUUGCAGAAUUCAGUGAAUCAUCGAAUCUUUGAACGCACCUUGCGCUCCUUGGUAUUCCUUGGAGCAUACCUGUUUGAGUAUCAUGAAAUCUUCAAAGUAAAUCUUUUGUUAACUCAAUUGGUUUCUACUUUGGUAUUAGAGGUCUUUGCAGCUUCACACCUGCUCCUCUUUGUUCAUUAGCUGGAUCUCAGUGUUAUGCUUGGUUCCACUCGGCGUGAUAAGUUAUCUAUCGCUGAGGACACUGUAAAAGGUGGCCAAGGUAAAUGCAGAUGAACCGCUUCUAAUAGUCCAUUGACUUGGACAAUACUUUUAUGAUCUGAUCUCAAAUCAGGUAGGACUACCCGCUGAACUUAAGC
This 378-nucleotide unclassified non-coding RNA is filed under the name plant metagenome. RNAcentral's name for it is "partial contains 5.8S ribosomal RNA, internal transcribed spacer 2, and large subunit ribosomal RNA". The stretch from base 1 to 105 matches the Rfam family "5.8S ribosomal RNA", at positions 50 to 154 of the family's 154-position model. The record is from RNAcentral.